ACUUUAGAUAUGAUCCAGAGUACCACGGGACACGUGAAACCCUGUGGGAAGCAGGAGGGACCACCCUCCAAGGCUAAAUACUACCUAGUGACCGAUAGCGUAUAGUACCGUGAGGGAAAGGUGAAAAGAACCCCGGGAGGGGAGUGAAAUAGAACCUGAAACCCUGCACUUACAAGCUGUGGAAGCACAUUUCUUGUGUGACCGCGUACUUUUUGUAGAACGGGCCAACGAGUUACGUUAAGUAGCAAGGUUAAGCACUUAAGGUGUGGAGCCGUAGCGAAAGCGAGUUUU
RNAcentral lists this ribosomal RNA (291 nucleotides) under Clostridioides difficile. Its description in RNAcentral is "partial 23S ribosomal RNA". It matches the Rfam family "Bacterial large subunit ribosomal RNA", at positions 393 to 685 of the family's 2925-position model. The record is from RNAcentral. Lineage: Bacteria; Bacillati; Bacillota; Clostridia; Peptostreptococcales; Peptostreptococcaceae.